GACUCCAUAGUGUAGUGGUUAGUACGUCUGCUUUACACGCAGAAGUUCCUGGGUUCGCACCCCAGGUGAAGCCA
Molecule: non-coding RNA, 74 nt
Organism: Pteropus alecto (black flying fox)
Lineage: Eukaryota; Metazoa; Chordata; Mammalia; Chiroptera; Pteropodidae
Source: Rfam